RNAcentral lists this ribosomal RNA (142 nucleotides) under uncultured eukaryote. RNAcentral describes it as "partial 18S ribosomal RNA". It matches the Rfam family "Eukaryotic small subunit ribosomal RNA", at positions 1299 to 1458 of the family's 1831-position model. The record is from RNAcentral.
UGGUGGAGUGAUUUGUCUGGCUAAUUCCGUUAACGAACGAGACCCCUGCCUGCUAAAUAGUUGCCGGAGUGUAUUUUCACUGCGGUGAGCUUCUUAGAGGGACGUGCAUUCUAUUAGAUGCAGGAAGAUAGGGGCAAUAACA